UUUCAUUGCAGUCAAGUUUGGCAAGGUUUAUGCAAGACUAUCGAGACCUAAUAGUUCUUAUGCGCAACGCUAUCGUGGCUACUUGCAUGCAUGUGUGGUAAGCAAGUACAGUCAAUCAUAACAGGAGAAAUUUGUGCCCAAUAAUCACUAUUUAAAAGCAUGUCUAGGCUGUCUGAUGCACGUUGCCCAGCCCUUGCUCUAUGUUGAAUGCCUUGCAGAUCAGCACUAAUAAUAUACACUGUUACCAUGAUUCCUACAGCCUCAGUGGAAGCUGCCAGCACGUUGUUGGCCUGCUGCUCACAGCUUGCAACCUGGCACCACAAGGAGAAGACACAACAUGUACGGAUGUCUCCUGUGCAUGGAUUGUGCCCCCUCAGGAGCACAACAGAGACCAUCGCUGCACAAGUAAGAACAAAUGAUGGAUGCUGCAAGCAGCCAUAUAUAGCCGACAGUGAAGAUUUGCUGAGCAUGACAAACUGGAGAAUUAUUCAGGAGACAUUUGAUGGUAAGAAUGAACACAUCGAAAUUCAUCAGCAUAAUGUUGAAUUACAUAGGCACAUAGUUUUAUUGAGCAAGUGUUAUUUCAUCAAAAUACAUGGAACUAACACUAUGUGAAGUAAACAUGCAGAGGGAGCACGUGCUUAAACUGCUCCAGGCCGAGUGAAACCAGUCAUACAGCUCUUGCAUAAAAAUAAGACCUUACUGUAAUAAUGGUAAAGUAAAUAGCACAACUGUCAAUUUGUAAAUAUUACACUUGCCUAAGUGAUUAGAUGCAACUCAAUGAGGCUAGAAAGCUACAGAAAAUACUGAUGAGAGUUUAACUGACAACUGGGCUAGUUGGUAAUCAUUCAUUACAAGUACAUAAGUGGAAUAAUAGAUCAGGACAUGGAAGGAAACAAGACAUGCACCAAUGUUCUGAUUAGUCAGCGUGUUUUCUCUUAAUGCAGCCUUUUCCAUAUUUGCAUUGACUGAAAGUGUAAACCAAGUAGCAUUAGUUGUAUUGCUUCCCUGCAGCUGAUCACCAAUUUGCUCAAGUUAGGUCACACUUUUUUAUGUCUUAUGCUUUUGCAGCAAUUCAGCCCCUGAGCCUCGAUGACGGGGCAGUCAUUUUAGAAAGCAAAAUGGGCCAGGCAGAGAACGAGAACUGGCAUCAGGAACGUAUUGGUCGGCUCAUGGCAUCAGUGUUUAAGAGGUUGCUGCGGUGCAGAAAGCCUGAUGGUGCCGCAAGGGACGUAACGUAUCCUUGCCAAGUGAGCACCAAAGCCAUGCGAUAUGGCAGGAUUCAAGAGGACGAUGCCGUUAAAGCAUACGAAGAAAUAAUGGCAUGCAGGGGCAGAUAUUUAACUACUGCAUAUACUGGGUUGCAUGUUCAUCCCCAGCACCCAUUUAUUGCUGUCUAUUUAUUCCAACACCCUUGCCAUUCAUCCCCAGCACCCAUUUAUUGCUGUCUAUUUAUUCCAACACCCUUGCCAUUAGGCAAGGGUGUUGUCAAAGCAGCAGCUUCCGCAAAGUGCUGUUUGAAAAUAUCUGGUGACAAUAUAGAACUGAAAAAAGAUCAUGCAUAUUAUUACCAGAUACAAGGUAUGAUGGGUGUCACAGGUUUGAAGUGGUGUGAUUUUGUAGUAUGAACAAAUGCUGGAAGUGUAGCAGCCUCAACACAUGUGGAGAGGACUCCCUUUGAUGAAGUUCUUUGGUGUACAGAAAUUCUGCCUGGGUUGCUGCAUUUCUUCAAACAUUGCAUAGUGCCAGAGCAGCUCACUCGCAGAGUAAGCAGAGGACUCCCUCUUUACAAUGAAAAAAUAUAUUGGAUACAAAAAGAACACUGCAUAAUGCAUCGUUUGGCUGUGUUAAGAGGACAAGGCCUUCAAUAUAAUGUGCAAUAAAUGCUGGUAUUCUGCACCAAAAAGGAGUUAUUUUUUUCUCUGCUGGAGUUUGUGGCUCAUAAAAAUUAUGUUUACAGAAAUUUGGUGCCCUGAAAUGAGGGCAAGUACGGCAUUUUGCAGUUAGUGUACCAGUGUGCAUAAUAGCGUUUCAUCAUGCCGAGUUAAUAAUAGGUGUCUUAUAGACCAAUUUUCUCUUCGGAACUUGCGGAAAGUAGGGGGUACCACUUUUAGUCCAAGAAAUACGGUAGUUGAACAACCUUCUACAGAUUAUAGCACACGGAAACUGGAGUACUGGACAGUACACGCUACUGCACGAACUAUGCAACAAUCACAUCAGUAGUGCAUUCCCGUUCUGCUGAGCAAUUACUUGAAAGAAAGUACUGGUGAGCAUGAAUGUAAGGGAACUACAGAAAAUUUUCAUGCCAGUUAACAUCCGAGUCUGACUGACUACGAAUAUGAAACGAGAAUGU
Dermacentor silvarum is the source of this 2353-nucleotide RNA transcript. RefSeq lists it as uncharacterized. The transcript is spliced from 2 exons. The record is from RefSeq and is a predicted model, not a curated record. Lineage: Eukaryota; Metazoa; Arthropoda; Arachnida; Ixodida; Ixodidae.